GUCGGUCUGUCCGUCUCUCCUCUAGAGAACCAGGUCUGUCUGUCCGUCUCUCCUCUAGAGAACCAGGUCGGUCUGUCCAUCUCUCCUCUAGAGAACCAGGUCGGUCUGUCCGUCUCUCCUCUAGAGAACCAGGUCUGUCUGUUCGUAUCUCCUCCAGAGAACCAGGUCUGUCUGUUCGUAUCUCCUCCAGAGAACCAGGUCUGUCUGUUCGUAUCUCCUCCAGAGAACCAGGUCUGUCUGUCUGUUCGUCUCUCCUCCAGAGAACCAGGUCUGUCUGUCCGUCUCUCCUCUAGAGAACCAGGUCUGUCUGUCCAUCUCUCCUCUAGAGAAGCAGGUCUGUCUGUCUGUCCGUCUCUCCUCUAGAGAACCAGGUCUGUCUGUCCGUCUCUCCUCUAGAGAGCCAGGUCUGUCUGUCCGCCUCUCCUCUAGAGAACCAGGUCUGUCUGUCCGCCUCUCCUCUAGAGAACCAGGUCUGUCUGUCCGCCUCUCCUCUAGAGAACCAGGUCUGUCUGUCCGCCUCUCCUCUAGAGAACCAGGUCUGUCUGUCCGCCUCUCCUCUAGAGAACCAGG
Molecule: long non-coding RNA, 570 nt
Organism: Oncorhynchus tshawytscha (Chinook salmon)
Lineage: Eukaryota; Metazoa; Chordata; Actinopteri; Salmoniformes; Salmonidae
Source: Ensembl